AGGGAAGGCAAUUGCAAUUAGAAUUAAGGAAAUUGGUGCAGACCUGUGUAUCACAGUAAAUAAAUCUUCAGUUGUGCGUGAAGCCACAAACACGUCAUCAUCAUCCUCUGCAAUCCAUUCAGCUGUUUUAUCACUGAUUAAACUUUUUUCUUCGGUGCCUGGUUCCACAGAACUCCCUAGACAUAAAAAACCAAAAGGAAUGACUUUGACC
This 211-nucleotide long non-coding RNA is filed under the name Homo sapiens (human). RNAcentral describes it as "HSALNT0283552". Lineage: Eukaryota; Metazoa; Chordata; Mammalia; Primates; Hominidae. The record is from RNAcentral.